This 450-nucleotide ribosomal RNA is filed under the name uncultured bacterium. RNAcentral describes it as "partial 16S ribosomal RNA". It matches the Rfam family "Bacterial small subunit ribosomal RNA", at positions 354 to 796 of the family's 1533-position model. The record is from RNAcentral.
GUGGGGAAUCUUCCGCAAUGGACGAAAGUCUGACGGAGCAACGCCGCGUGAGUGAUGAAGGUCUUCGGAUUGUAAAGCUCUGUUAAUCGGGACGAAAGAGCCUAGUGUGAAUAAUGCUAGGAAGUGACGGUACCCGAAUAGAAAGCCACGGCUAACUACGUGCCAGCAGCCGCGGUAAUACGUAGGUGGCAAGCGUUGUCCGGAAUUAUUGGGCGUAAAGCGCGCGCAGGCGGAUCUGCCAGUCUGUCUUAAAAGUUCGGGGCUUAACCCCGUGAUGGGAUGGAAACUACAGAUCUAGAGUAUCGGAGAGGAAAGUGGAAUUCCUAGUGUAGCGGUGAAAUGCGUAGAUAUUAGGAAGAACACCAGUGGCGAAGGCGACUUUCUGGACGAAAACUGACGCUGAGGCGCGAAAGCCAGGGGAGCGAACGGGAUUAGAUACCCCGGUAGUCC